CCUACGGGAGGCAGCAGUGAGGAAUAUUGGUCAAUGGACGGAAGUCUGAACCAGCCAUGCCGCGUGCAGGAAGACGGCUCUAUGAGUUGUAAACUGCUUUUGUACAAGGGUAAACCUGAAUACGUGUAUUCAGCUGAAAGUACUGUACGAAUAAGGAUCGGCUAACUCCGUGCCAGCAGCCGCGGUAAUACGGAGGAUCCAAGCGUUAUCCGGAUUUAUUGGGUUUAAAGGGUGCGUAGGCGGAUUGAUAAGUUAGAGGUGAAAGGUUCGAGCUUAACUCGGGAACUGCCACUAAUACUGUUGAUCUAGAGAGUAGAUGCGGUAGGCGGAAUGUGUGGUGUAGCGGUGAAAUGCUUAGAGAUCAUACAGAACACCGAUUGCGAAGGCAGCUUACCAAUCUAUAUCUGACAUUGAGGCACGAAAGCGUGGGGAGCAAACAGGAUUAGAUACCCGAGUAGUC
This 460-nucleotide ribosomal RNA is filed under the name uncultured bacterium. RNAcentral describes it as "partial 16S ribosomal RNA". It matches the Rfam family "Bacterial small subunit ribosomal RNA", at positions 338 to 795 of the family's 1533-position model. The record is from RNAcentral.